GUCAGGUUACUCAAGUGGUCAACGAGGGCAGACUGUAAAUCUGCUGGCUUCGCCUUCGUAGGUUCGAAUCCUACACCUGGCACCA
This 85-nucleotide transfer RNA is filed under the name Candidatus Pacebacteria bacterium CG_4_10_14_0_2_um_filter_40_20. Its description in RNAcentral is "tRNA-Tyr". It matches the Rfam family "tRNA". Rfam says of the family: Transfer RNA (tRNA) molecules are approximately 80 nucleotides in length. Their secondary structure includes four short double-helical elements and three loops (D, anti-codon, and T loops). Further hydrogen bonds mediate the characteristic L-shaped molecular structure. tRNAs have two regions of fundamental functional importance: the anti-codon, which is responsible for specific mRNA codon recognition, and the 3' end, to which the tRNAs corresponding amino acid is attached (by aminoacyl-tRNA synthetases). tRNAs cope with the degeneracy of the genetic code in two manners: having more than one tRNA (with a specific anti-codon) for a particular amino acid; and 'wobble' base-pairing, i.e. permitting non-standard base-pairing at the 3rd anti-codon position. Lineage: Bacteria; Bacillati; Minisyncoccota. The record is from RNAcentral. RNAcentral also lists the same sequence under 4 other names.